Molecule: ribosomal RNA, 492 nt
Filed under: uncultured bacterium
Lineage: Bacteria
Description: partial 16S ribosomal RNA
Rfam family: Bacterial small subunit ribosomal RNA
Source: RNAcentral
AGUGAACGCUGGCGGUAGGCCUAACACAUGCAAGUCGAACGGCAGCACAGUAUGGGCUGGCUCUUAGUGGUGGAGAGGGGCGGAAGGGUGAGGAAUGCGUCGGAAUCUACGUUUUAGUGGGGGGUAACGUAGGGUAACAUACGCUAAUACCGCCUACGAACUACGGGGGAAAGCAGGGGAUCUUCGGACCUUGCCCGACGGAAUGAGCCGAGGUCGGAUUAGCUAGUUAGCGGGGUAAAGGCCCACCAAUGCAACGAUGCGUAGAUGGUCUGAGAGGACGAACAGCCACACUGGGACUGAGACACGGCCCAGACUCCUACGGGAGGCAGCAGUGGGGAAUUUUGGACAAUGGGCGAAAGCCUGAUCCAGCCAUGCCGCGUGCGUGAUGAAGGCCUUCGGGUUGUAAACUGCUUUUGUACGGAACGAAAAGACGCUGGUUAAUACCUGGGGGCAAUGACGGUACCUGAAGAAUAAGCACCGGCUAACUACGUG